AGUUUGUUCUGCAGCAGCACGACAAUCCACUCUCUAAGAAGCUCAAUGAUAUCAUUAAUGAAAUUAGACGCCAAAGGUGUAACUACCUCCGCUUAAAACUAUGCAAAAAAGGAGAUUCAUCAGGUAUGUUGUUUUUCUCCAACAUGGUAGAAGACAAGACAUCCAUUGGACUUCCGUAUGUCGAGUUUCUGGUACAUAUCCAUCGGCAUAUUCAAAGCAAAAUGGCUUGAGAAAAUUUCCAGUUUUGUUCAUAAAUUUUGAUUAUAAAGAAGGGGUUACAGAUGUGGCUUCAAGUUGAACAAGGUGCAGAUAAUUGGUUUUACCUGUACCCCUUGAAUGGCCCCAUUCAUGAUAUUAUUAGGAUAGCAGCACAGUUUAGAUGUCAGAGAGGUUUCAUGGUUUUAUUGAGACAUUGUAGAGAACAUUUGAAAAUGAAUGAACAAAAAGCAUGGUCUCUUGUUUUUCGGUGUC
This is a long non-coding RNA of Lycium ferocissimum, 471 nucleotides long. RefSeq lists it as uncharacterized. NCBI's taxonomy places the organism in Eukaryota, Viridiplantae, Streptophyta, Magnoliopsida, Solanales, Solanaceae. The transcript has 3 exons. The record is from RefSeq and is a predicted model, not a curated record.